AUUGAACGCUGGCGGCAUGCCUUACACAUGCAAGUCGAACGGCAGCACGGGGGCAACCCUGGUGGCGAGUGGCGAACGGGUGAGUAAUGCAUCGGAACGUGUCCUCUUGUGGGGGAUAACCAGUCGAAAGAUUGGCUAAUACCGCAUGAGAUCGAGAGAUGAAAGCGGGGGACCCGAGGGUAACUUCGGGCCUCGCGCGAGAGGAGCGGCCGAUGCCGGAUUAGCUAGUUGGUGGGGUAAGAGCCUACCAAGGCGACGAUCCGUAGCUGGUCUGAGGGGACGACCAGCCACACUGGGACUGAGACACGGCCCAGACUCCUACGGGAGGCAGCAGUGGGAAUUUUGGACAAUGGGCGCAAGCCUGAUCCAGCCAUGCCGCGUGUGUGAAGAAGGCCUGG
This 398-nucleotide ribosomal RNA is filed under the name uncultured bacterium. Its description in RNAcentral is "bacterial SSU rRNA". It matches the Rfam family "Bacterial small subunit ribosomal RNA", at positions 29 to 419 of the family's 1533-position model. The record is from RNAcentral.